This 29-nucleotide non-coding RNA is filed under the name Mus musculus (house mouse). Lineage: Eukaryota; Metazoa; Chordata; Mammalia; Rodentia; Muridae. The record is from RNAcentral.
UGCAAGAUUAAGACAGAGGCCAUAUUGUU